GAACAAGUUCUAAGUCUAUACACAAACAUAAUGAGACAGAAAUAGGUGUGAAAGCACUAUCAUGCAAAUUAAAUACAUAACUUAUCCCCUCAUGGUAGAAACAUGGGAGAGGGAUAUUUCAUAAGAAUUGCAGGUAAGUGUAUAGAGGUUAUACUUGGUACGGCCAAAGAUAGAAUUACAGUACAAUACUAUAAAUUCAUACAG
Non-coding RNA from Pelobates cultripes (western spadefoot toad), 204 nucleotides. Lineage: Eukaryota; Metazoa; Chordata; Amphibia; Anura; Pelobatidae. The record is from the annotation of a GenBank genome assembly.